Molecule: long non-coding RNA, 731 nt
Organism: Carassius auratus (goldfish)
Lineage: Eukaryota; Metazoa; Chordata; Actinopteri; Cypriniformes; Cyprinidae
Exons: 4
Source: RefSeq, a predicted model, not a curated record
GGCCGUCUUUUGGACAACUGUCAAGUCAGCAGUCUUCCCCAUGAUUGUGUAGCCUACAAAACUAGACUAAAAGACCAAUUAAAUGCCUUUGCAGGUGUUUUGAGUUCAUUAGCUGAUUAAAGUGUGGCACCAGGUGUGCACACAUUUAAUAUAAAUGCAACAUUUAUAGAUAAAUGAUUAGCUAAGAGUCUAUGUCAAUUAAUUUUAAUAUUUUAGUAGAUAGGUCUAUAAAUGCACUUAAUGACAGUCAUGUAGAUAUUGGACAUGCCUGGAUGAAACUCCUCUAGGAAGAGGGCAAAGACCCAUACGCUGCCAACACGCAUGUCAUUGCCACAGUCCUCUAGCCUACUCUCCAUGAGCAGGAGCAUAUUGACGAGGACUGAAAAACAAUUAAAAGCAAGUCAUCAACGGAGUCAUCUUUGUUCAUGUUUUUAAUAAAUGGAGUUAAUAAAUAAUAUUGUUGUAUAAAAAUUUUUUGUCUCAUUCUUCUCAGAUGGCCGAAUCAAAAAAAUCUAAACAAAUUUGAAUACCUCCACACUUUUCCUACUACGGAAGGUAGUACAUUAGUGAUGUAACGUCAAGUUCCCUCAAAUCUGUUCUGAAAUUCUGAAGAAGAAACAAACUCCUCUACAUUAUGACCCAAGGGUGAGCACAUUUUCAGCACAUUAUUUUUAUUUUUUUAACUAUUCUUUAAGCUGUAAGUUAACCGAAAAAUCAAAAUUAUGUAAUAA